RNAcentral lists this ribosomal RNA (520 nucleotides) under uncultured Glomus. RNAcentral describes it as "SSU rRNA". It matches the Rfam family "Eukaryotic small subunit ribosomal RNA", at positions 569 to 1095 of the family's 1831-position model. The record is from RNAcentral. Lineage: Eukaryota; Fungi; Glomeromycota; Glomeromycetes; Glomerales; Glomeraceae.
AGCAGCCGCGGUAAUUCCAGCUCCAAUAGCGUAUAUUAAAGUUGUUGCAGUUAAAAAGCUCGUAGUUGAACUUCGGGAUCAGUACGUUGGUCGUGCCUUGGUACGUACUGGCGUCACUGGUUCCUACCUUCUGACGAACCGUCAUGUCAUUAAUUUGGUGUGGCGGGAAUCAGGACUGUUACUUUGAAAAAAUUGAGUGUUUAAAGCAGGCUCGCGCUUGAAUACAUUAGCAUGGAAUAAUGAAAUAGGACGUUCGAUCCUAUUUUGUUGGUUUCUAGGAUUGACGUAAUGAUUAAUAGGGAUAGUUGGGGGCAUUAGUAUUCAAUUGUCAGAGGUGAAAUUCUUGGAUUUAUUGAAGACUAACUACUGCGAAAGCAUUUGCCAAGGAUGUUUUCAUUAAUCAAGAACGAAGUUAGGGAUCGAAGACGAUCAGAUACCGUCGUAGUCUUAACCAUAAACUAUGCCGACUAGGGAUCGGAUGGAUGUUAUUUUUAAUGUACUCAUUCGGCGCCUUACGGGA